UGCAAUCACUACUGUAAGUCACUCUGGAUAAGAGCGUCUGCUAAAUGACUAAAA
Non-coding RNA from Salmo salar (Atlantic salmon), 54 nucleotides. NCBI's taxonomy places the organism in Eukaryota, Metazoa, Chordata, Actinopteri, Salmoniformes, Salmonidae. The record is from Rfam.